RNAcentral lists this ribosomal RNA (1000 nucleotides) under uncultured cyanobacterium. RNAcentral's name for it is "bacterial SSU rRNA". It matches the Rfam family "Bacterial small subunit ribosomal RNA", at positions 60 to 1104 of the family's 1533-position model. The record is from RNAcentral. Lineage: Bacteria; Bacillati; Cyanobacteriota.
AGUCGAACGGAAGUCUUCGGACUUUAGUAGCGGACGGGUGAGUAACGCGUGAGAACCUACCCUUAGGACGGGGAUAACAGCUGGAAACGGCUGCUAAUACCCGAUGUGCCGAGAGGUGAAAGAUUUAUUGCCUGAGGAAGGGCUCGCGUCCGAUUAGCUAGUUGGAGUGGUAAUGGCACCCCAAGGCGACGAUCGGUAGCUGGUCUGAGAGGAUGAUCAGCCACACUGGGACUGAGACACGGCCCAGACUCCUACGGGAGGCAGCAGUGGGGAAUUUUCCGCAAUGGGCGCAAGCCUGACGGAGCAAUACCGCGUGCGGGAGGACGGCCUUUGGGUUGUAAACCGCUUUUCUCAGGGAAGAAGUUCUGACGGUACCUGAGGAAUCAGCAUCGGCUAACUCCGUGCCAGCAGCCGCGGUAAUACGGGGGAUGCAAGCGUUAUCCGGAAUUAUUGGGCGUAAAGCGUCCGCAGGUGGUUUGUCAAGUCUGCUGUUAAAGCGUGGAGCUUAACUCCAUAUCGGCGGUGGAAACUGAUGAACUAGAGGGUGGUAGGGGUCACGGGAAUCCCAGUGUAGCGGUGAAAUGCGUAGAUAUUGGGAAGAACACCAGCGGCGAAAGCGCGUGACUGGGCCAUUACUGACACUCAUGGACGAAAGCUAGGGGAGCGAAAGGGAUUAGAUACCCCUGUAGUCCUAGCCGUAAACGAUGGACACUAGGUGUUGCCCGAUCGACCCGGGCAGUGCCGUAGCUAACGCGUUAAGUGUCCCGCCUGGGGAGUACGCACGCAAGUGUGAAACUCAAAGGAAUUGACGGGGGCCCGCACAAGCGGUGGAGUAUGUGGUUUAAUUCGAUGCAACGCGAAGAACCUUACCAGGGCUUGACAUGUCGCGAAUCCCCUUGAAAGGGGGGAGUGCCUUCGGGAGCGCGAGCACAGGUGGUGCAUGGCUGUCGUCAGCUCGUGUCGUGAGAUGUUGGGUUAAGUCCCGCAACGAGCGCAACCC